RNAcentral lists this ribosomal RNA (469 nucleotides) under uncultured bacterium. RNAcentral's name for it is "bacterial SSU rRNA". It matches the Rfam family "Bacterial small subunit ribosomal RNA", at positions 355 to 822 of the family's 1533-position model. The record is from RNAcentral.
UGGGGAAUAUUGGACAAUGGGCGAAAGCCUGAUCCAGCCAUGCCGCGUGUGUGAAGAAGGUCUUCGGAUUGUAAAGCACUUUAAGUUGGGAGGAAGGGCAGUAACCUAAUACGUUUCUGUCUUGACGUUACCGACAGAAUAAGCACCGGCUAACUCUGUGCCAGCAGCCGCGGUAAUACAGAGGGUGCAAGCGUUAAUCGGAAUUACUGGGCGUAAAGCGCGCGUAGGUGGUUUGUUAAGUUGGAUGUGAAAUCCCCGGGCUCAACCUGGGAACUGCAUUCAAAACUGACAAGCUAGAGUAUGGUAGAGGGUGGUGGAAUUUCCUGUGUAGCGGUGAAAUGCGUAGAUAUAGGAAGGAACACCAGUGGCGAAGGCGACCACCUGGACUGAUACUGACACUGAGGUGCGAAAGCGUGGGUAGCAAGCAGGAUUAGAUACCCUGGUAGUCCCUGAGCGGGCUGGCAAGGCG